Molecule: ribosomal RNA, 322 nt
Filed under: uncultured eukaryote
Lineage: Eukaryota
Description: partial 18S ribosomal RNA
Rfam family: Eukaryotic small subunit ribosomal RNA
Source: RNAcentral
CCCUUAGAUGUUCUGGGCCGCACGCGUGCUACACUGAGUAAUUCAAUGGGUAAGGGAACGCUAGAGCAUUACCUAAUCUUGAAAUUUGCUCGUGAUGGGGAUCGACGGUUGCAAUUUUCCGUCGUGAACGAGGAAUACCUUGUAGGCGCAUGUCAUCAUCAUGCGCCGAAUACGUCCCUGCCCUUUGUACACACCGCCCGUCGCUCCUACCGAUUGAGUGAUCCGGUGAGGCUCUGGGACCUGGACGAAAAGAGCGUUUCGCUUGUUCUGUUUGGGAAACUUGGUCGAACCUUAUCAUUUAGAGGAAGGAGAAGUCGUAACA